RNAcentral lists this ribosomal RNA (320 nucleotides) under uncultured eukaryote. RNAcentral's name for it is "partial 18S ribosomal RNA". It matches the Rfam family "Eukaryotic small subunit ribosomal RNA", at positions 1470 to 1796 of the family's 1831-position model. The record is from RNAcentral.
CCCCCAGAUGUUCUGGGCCGCACGCGCGCUACACUGAACAGUUCAACAAGUCUUAACCUUGGCCGAUAGGUCUGGGUAAUCUUUGAACGCUGUUCGUGAUUGGGAUAGACCUUUGCAAUUAUGGGUCUUCAACGAGGAAUUCCUAGUAAACGCAAGUCAUCAGCUUGCAUUGAUUACGUCCCUGCCCUUUGUACACACCGCCCGUCGCACCUACCGAUUGAAUGGUCCGGUGAAAUCUCGGGACGGCGGCUUGGUCGCUUGCGUCCGACUGCUGAAACUUGAUUAAACCAUAUCAUUUAGAGGAAGGUGAAGUCGUANCA